Molecule: ribosomal RNA, 472 nt
Filed under: uncultured bacterium
Lineage: Bacteria
Description: bacterial SSU rRNA
Rfam family: Bacterial small subunit ribosomal RNA
Source: RNAcentral
GGGCUCACACAAGCGGUGGAGCAUGUGGUUCAAUUCGAAGCAACGCGCAGAACCUUACCUGGGCUUGACAUGCUAGGAUUAUCUCUGUGAAAGCAGAGUAGGCCCUUCGGGGUACAACUAGUACAGGUGCUGCAUGGCUGUCGUCAGCUCGUGUCGUGAGAUGUCGGGUUAAGUCCCUUAACGAGCGAAACCUUUGCCCUUAGUUACCAGCGAGUAAAGUCGGGGACUCUAAGGGGACUGCCGGUGUCAAACCGGAGGAAGGUGGAGAUGACGUCAAGUCCUCAUGGCCUUUAUGCCCAGGGCCACACACGUGCUACAAUGGGGUGCACAGAGCGAACCGAGACCGCAAGGUGGAGGAAAUCGCAUAAAUCACCCCCCAGUUCAGAUCGGAGGCUGCAACUCGCCUCCGUGAAGUUGGAAUCGCUAGUAAUCGCGGAUCAGCUACGCCGCGGUGAAUGUGUUCCUGAGCCUU